Molecule: ribosomal RNA, 226 nt
Filed under: uncultured bacterium
Lineage: Bacteria
Description: partial 16S ribosomal RNA
Rfam family: Bacterial small subunit ribosomal RNA
Source: RNAcentral
UACGUAGGGUGCAAGCGUUAAUCGGAAUUACUGGGCGUAAAGCGUGCGCAGGCGGUUAUGUAAGACAGGUGUGAAAUCCCCGGGCUUAACCUGGGAACUGCAUUUGUGACUGCAUAGCUAGAGUACGGUAGAGGGGGAUGGAAUUCCGCGUGUAGGCAGUGAAAUGGCGUAGAUAUGCGGAGGAACACCGAUGGCGAAGGGCAAUCCCCGUGGACCUGUACUGACG